This 427-nucleotide ribosomal RNA is filed under the name uncultured bacterium. RNAcentral describes it as "bacterial SSU rRNA". It matches the Rfam family "Bacterial small subunit ribosomal RNA", at positions 355 to 772 of the family's 1533-position model. The record is from RNAcentral.
UGGGGAAUUGUUCGCAAUGGGCGCAAGCCUGACGACGCAACGCCGCGUGGAGGAUGAAGAUCUUCGGGUCGUAAACUCCUUUCGAUCGAGACGAAUGGCCUUCGGGUGAACAAUCCGGAGGAAUGACGGUACCGAGAGAAGAAGCCCCGGCUAACUCCGUGCCAGCAGCCGCGGUAAUACGGGGGGGGCAAGCGUUGUUCGGAAUUACUGGGCGUAAAGGGCUCGUAGGCGGCCAACUAAGUCGGAUGUGAAAUCCCCAGGCUUAACCUGGGAACUGCAUCCGAUACUGGAUGGCUUGAAUCCGGGAGAGGGAUGCAGAAUUCCAGGUGUAGCGGUGAAAUGCGUAGAUAUCUGGAGGAAUACCGGUGGCGAAGGCGGCAUCCUGGACCGGCAUUGACGCUGAGUGAGCGAAAGCUAGGGGAGCAAA